CGUGUAGGCGGCCAAGUAAGUCGGGCGUGAAAGCCCUGGGCUUAACCCAGGAAGUGCGUUCGAUACUGCUAGGCUUGAGUACGGGAGAGGGUAGUGGAAUUCCCGGUGUAGAGGUGAAAUUCGUAGAUAUCGGGAGGAACACCAGUGGCGAAGGCGGCUACCUGGACCGAUACUGACGCUGAGACGCGAAAGCGUGGGGAGCAAACAGGAUUAGAUACCCUGGUAGUCC
Molecule: ribosomal RNA, 229 nt
Filed under: uncultured bacterium
Lineage: Bacteria
Description: partial 16S ribosomal RNA
Rfam family: Bacterial small subunit ribosomal RNA
Source: RNAcentral